This 458-nucleotide long non-coding RNA is filed under the name Mustela putorius furo (domestic ferret). RNAcentral's name for it is "lncRNA (ENSMPUG00000028379.1)". Lineage: Eukaryota; Metazoa; Chordata; Mammalia; Carnivora; Mustelidae. The record is from RNAcentral.
CAGGCUGGGAUCUGCCUUCUGGCAUUCUGCAGCCACCAGCCGCCUUCUUGCCUGUAAAGGGCUUGCUGCUGGGCUCGACAGCUCCUCAGGGACAGGUAAGAGCAGGGCGGCUGGCCCCCUGCCAUUUACCAGCCAAAUGUGAAACACAACUUCGCCGGGGCGUCUGUCGGACAAGGUUCGACGACCCACCUGCCUGCUUGGACGAAGCCUCCUUGGAACCCCACAGAGAGAAACUGAGGCCCUCAGUCAACAGCCCCAUGAAGAACCGAACCCUGCCAACAAGAGCUGAUGGUGCUCCAUGGGACCUGGAGGGGACUCUGGCCCUGGCCAGCUCCACGACAUGGGACCUGGAACUGGGCUCCAUGGGACCUGGAGCCCAGCUCCAUGACAAAUCCUGAGUAGGGGACCCAGCUAAGCUGCUCCCGGGUUCCCAACUCUCAGAAACUCUAAGAUGAUAA